GACGAACGCUGGCGGCGCGCCUAACACAUGCAAGUCGAACGAGAGAUGAAGAGCUUGCUCUUCAAAUCGAGUGGCGAACGGGUGAGUAACGCGUGAGGAACCUGCCUCAAAGAGGGGGACAACAGUUGGAAACGACUGCUAAUACCGCAUAAGCCCACGGCUCGGCAUCGAGCAGAGGGAAAAGGAGUGAUCCGCUUUGAGAUGGCCUCGCGUCCGAUUAGCUAGUUGGUGAGGUAACGGCCCACCAAGGCAACGAUCGGUAGCCGGACUGAGAGGUUGAACGGCCACAUUGGGACUGAGACACGGCCCAGACUCCUACGGGAGGCAGCAGUGGGGAAUAUUGCACAAUGGGGGAAACCCUGAUGCAGCGACGCCGCGUGGAGGAAGAAGGUCUUCGGAUUGUAAACUCCUGUUGUUGAGGAAGAUA
This 427-nucleotide ribosomal RNA is filed under the name uncultured bacterium. Its description in RNAcentral is "bacterial SSU rRNA". It matches the Rfam family "Bacterial small subunit ribosomal RNA", at positions 28 to 450 of the family's 1533-position model. The record is from RNAcentral.